AGAGCACAGAGGGGAGCAUGCUUGCUGAAAACAAAGUAGACUUCAACAACGUACACCAAGUAUGGAGGAGAGGAGGCAGUCCUGUCAAGGGUCCCCUUGUUCUGUAGCUGGUAGCACUGACAAUGAUAACUUCCAUAGACCUGCUUCAUGUACAGCCACCAGAGUGAUAUUGAGUGCAAGAUUCAGAAUUGCCCACGUCCUGCUCCAAUCAAGUCAAACUCUAC
Molecule: long non-coding RNA, 224 nt
Filed under: Cricetulus griseus (Chinese hamster)
Lineage: Eukaryota; Metazoa; Chordata; Mammalia; Rodentia; Cricetidae
Description: lncRNA (ENSCGRG00000024532.1)
Source: RNAcentral